UAGAGAAAUAGAACUAAAUCUAACACAUGCAUGUCGGUUUAGCUAUGUGAGGACCCCCAAUAAUUUCGAAUCCGAGACAACAUCACCCUGAAUCGCCAUCUCAACUCCACAAAAUCAUGUCUCCCAAGCCUCAAGCCAUCAGAAAUUGGAGUACCAUUUUGCACAUGCCACGUAGGUGUCCGAGAUGAACAAAGAGACAGAAGAGACAAAGUCAAAAAGCUUCCAAACUCACGGAUCUGCAAAUUGUGAGCAUACACCCGUGAGAAAACAAGCUGAAGCAGCCGGUCUAAUAGUCCCAGAAAGCAAAAUCAAACAGCAACUGUCGCGGCCUUUGUAUGUCAUCAAGGGUAUACGGAUCCAUGAUAGAGCCAAGGAGACAGAAGUAAACACACAAGAGCAACGGAGGAAAACAGCACAGGCCGCAUGACCCAGAUCGAUGCAUCUGGGAGGUAAAAUUCGAAUCCCUGCAAGUGUAAUUGUUGUAGAUCUGGUAAUAAUAUCUGUACUCAGUUCUGUGGUGUAUGGAUCUGUGAUUUAAUUGUGCUUCCUCCAUGCAUCGCAAAACUGAGCUGCAGAAAAUUAACUGCUCUAAACUCUGUUUAUGCGCUGGAUCUACAACAAUCACCCCCAAACUUGCAUCUGUGAAUGGCUAUUUAUGUUGACUGCUUUAAAUUUCCAGCAUAGUGUAGAUGUGGUUGAUGUGAACGAUAGACUUGCUGCUGGGUGCAGGAUUCCAGCUUAGGACGCGUUUUAUUUUCCACGUUCGCAACCUGCAAUUAACCAAUAUGCGU
Molecule: non-coding RNA, 791 nt
Organism: Malus domestica (apple)
Lineage: Eukaryota; Viridiplantae; Streptophyta; Magnoliopsida; Rosales; Rosaceae
Source: RefSeq, a predicted model, not a curated record